UCAUAAUCUUCUCAUGCUCUUUGAAUAAGAUAAUGCCUAAAUAUACUUGAGAUCAUCAUGUAGCUUUAGAAAAGACUUAGAAAGUCUUCAAAUCCUUUUUGAAUAUUUGAAAGAAUUUUUGGCUAAUAUUUUGGUUAAGAUAUGGUGAAUCUUCAUUCAUGAUGAGGGGACCACAUUUGUAAAUUUUCAAGCAAAAGUCAUGGCCAUUUGUAUAGCCAUAUAUAGUGAUGUGUUAAAGAGAGAUUGAGAGAAAAUUAGAGAGCUCUCUAAUAAGUGUGGUAUGGACAGUAAGAAAAUAAAAGUGACUACUCUAUUAAGUAUGUCAAGUGUGUGAGUUACGGAUGUAGAAGAAGUCUUUGGGUUUAAGGGUUUCUACUUGACCUUGUGAUUUGUAUAAGCCACUUUGAUGAUGUAUUUCUUCCGUCUUUGCUUGUUGAUGUAAGCAACAAGUCGAAUCACAUAAAAUUUUCUGUAUUAUGUGUGUUUAUUUUUAUCCACUGCUUUUGUAGAUUAUGAUUUUUGUGCAAUAUCCAAUAUUGCCUUAUUCAGGCCUCUUUCUGAGUCAGUAUUGCUUGUAUCUUCGCUUUCUAUAAAUUGAAGCUACUAGUUCCAUCAAACUUCUCGAUUUCCAUUGAUGAGUCCAUUAUGGAUUUGCUAAGAAGA
This 663-nucleotide unclassified non-coding RNA is filed under the name Hevea brasiliensis (rubber tree). Lineage: Eukaryota; Viridiplantae; Streptophyta; Magnoliopsida; Malpighiales; Euphorbiaceae. The record is from RNAcentral.